This 253-nucleotide ribosomal RNA is filed under the name uncultured bacterium. Its description in RNAcentral is "partial 16S ribosomal RNA". It matches the Rfam family "Bacterial small subunit ribosomal RNA", at positions 524 to 776 of the family's 1533-position model. The record is from RNAcentral.
CACGUAAGGUGCGAACGUUGUUCGGAAUCACUGGGCAUAAAGAGCACGUAGGCGGCUUGGUAAGUCCAAUGUGAAAUCCCUCGGCUCAACCGAGGAAUUGCAUCGGAUACUGCUGAGCUCGAGUGCGGUAGGGGAGAGUGGAAUUCCAGGUGGAGCGGUGAAAUGCGUAGAUAUCUGGAGGAACACCGGUGGCGAAAGCGACUCUCUGGACCGUAACUGACGCUGAGGUGCGAAAGCCAGGGGAGCAAACGGG